Non-coding RNA from Rattus norvegicus (Norway rat), 12089 nucleotides. The record is from RefSeq and is a predicted model, not a curated record. NCBI's taxonomy places the organism in Eukaryota, Metazoa, Chordata, Mammalia, Rodentia, Muridae.
GACUGGGUGUGCGGCCCGGGGACCCGGGUUCCUCGGGGGCGGGGGGCCUCGCCCUGCCCUACCGCAGUACCCAGAACGCAACCCCCCCCCCAAAUGUCAGUGCUUCACUGCCGGGCCCGAAGCAGGGGAUCCCACCACUAGUCCCCUAUAAGAUCACUCCAGAUACCUUACCCGUGGAUGCCCCCUGACACCGUGGGAUGGCUACCAACGGGUUCUCGUUAGUAAUGAACCUUUCAAAUGCCAGGGCCCCCACGAAUCUUCCUACCGCCUCAUCAGCUUCCUCCACGAGAUCCUCUCCAUGCCACCAGCUUUGCUGUGCUUACAGGGUAGCUGCUCAUGAGCCCUCUAUUCCUAUCUACUGUGGGAUUGCUUCGAGGGGGUGUUGUAUUAGUAUUUCGUGACAAGAGUUGCCCCCUACUAGCUCUGACCACACACAACCCAUCCCAAUGCACAAAUAUUUUCUAUUCUGGCCUAUACUAAAAGUGCUUUUUAAGAACCCCUUCCUGCAACUCCCCCUAACAGACCUCUUCAAAUUCAAACCUUCCCCCCACCCCCGAUGGAACAGCCCUCUCCAGAGUUCUUUUAAUACCAGGUCCUUUCCCCGAUUAGGGAGGAACAGCUGCCUGGUUAGCAUCAGACUCUCUUGAAACACUCCCUGCCCACUUCUCCUUCCCCUCCCUCAUCCUGGCCUCUGCAAUCCCAGGACAAUGCAAAUUAGCCGAGAAAUAUGCCUUCAUGGAGCAUCGGCAGUCUUAUACCCAUCUUUGCCCAAGUCUCUUGACAUUGUCCCAAACUUCCUAGGAAAGACCCCGUCUCUGCUUACAUCUUUUCCCAUAGGUUUUAUUCUUCGCUGAAUGAACGCCGUCAUUCUAUGCCCAAGCCAUGCAGUUUCGAAGGGGAGAGGUGCAACUCCUCCUUUUACAAGGGUUUGCCGUCUAGUUGAGAGGCAGAUCAGAAACAGUGCUGCUCUGUGGGUUUUCUGAGAGUCUGAUGAGCUAUGAGGCGAAUGCUGAAACACAAGAUUUAAUCGUGCCAUUCAAAGAUCUGGGGAAGAGCUGGUGCAGAGGUCCAGAGGUCCAGAGGUAACAGUCAUGUGUGGAGAGUAGCAGCGAGUUUGGAGCAGAACUGAAAAAGGCUGGAUCCGAAAGAGCCUUGGGGAUAAACUGCCUGGCUUUUUCUCAGCUCUACCAAGCUCAUAAGAUUCUUAUCCACUUGUACCUUGUUCACUCAUAAACACUUUCAAUACCUGUUUAAUGAGCAUCUGCUUAUACAGAGAAUAAAAUGGGCAGAAAUUCACAUAGAAUGGCUAUGUGGAAGAGGCAGAUUUUAGAAAUCAAGUUAUGUGGGGGUGGGGGACAUAGUUAAGUCAAUAAAGUGUUGUCCUGAGUUCAGAUUCCAAGCUCUUAACAUUAAGGGGGGAAAAAGCUGGGCAUGGUAUCACAUUCCUGUGAUCCCAGCACUGGGGAGACAGAGAUAGGAAGAUUCCUGGAGCUCACAGGCUAGCUCCUGAUUCAGUGAAAGACCGUCUCAAAGAAAGGAGGAAAGAAAGAGAACACAGUUGAGGCCAUAUAACACUGGCCUCUGGCCUCCCUACCUUCACAUGCAGUCAUACACAACACACAAAAUCAAAUUCAUGAGGACAGAGUUAUAGGGGCUGGGAUAUGGCAAAUACCACGUGUGGGCUAUCUCGUGCCAUCCUGUUCCUCAGGUAAACCAAAGAGCAAAAAGUUUGGCCCUAGACUGCUCUGGCUCACCAAGGGGGCUACUCUGACAGCUUCCUCACCUUGCAGGUGGAGGGAAGGAUAUGAUCUGAGGACUUUAUAGACUCGUGCCUUUUCCCACCCUGUUUGCCUAGCCUCAUUCCUUCAUUUACUCAGGAAUACAUCCCAUGCAGCCAAUGAGAUAGAUGGCUGAGCAGGUAGAAUGAACAAGCCUGAUGACCUGAGUUUAGUCUCCAAAACCCAUGUGAUGGAAGGAGAGAACUAAUUCCUGUAAGUUGCCCUCUCAUCUCUACAUGUGUACACACACGAUAAAUAAAUGUAAUUUUUAUUUUGAAAAAAAAAAAAAAGAUAGUGAUUAUCAAGCUAGGUACUAUCCUAGGUCCUGAGGACAGUUCGGAACAAACCACGAAGCUCCUGUUACUGGGGCUGUGGAGACGGCUUAGUGGUUAAAAGCAUUUGCUGUGAAAGCGUGGGGAUCAGAGUUCAGAUUCCCAGAACUCAUCUGAAUGCCAGCCAGUUAGGAGGCCCACCUGUCAUUCCAGUCUCUGAAGGCAGAAAUAGGAUCCCCAGAACAAUCUGGCUAAUGAAACUAGCCAUAUCUGUGAGCUCUGAGUUUGAUUGAGAGACCCUGCUCAAUGAAUAUGAUGGAAGAGAGUGGGGAUCAUUCCUAGCGUCAACCUUGAGUCUGCAUGCACAUGCACACGUGUGUAUACAUGUGAGAAGGGAAAAAGGGAAAAAAAAAUACUGUGGCAUCAGAGAGGGAGACCAGUAAAAACAUGAUCAGGAAGGCAGAAUAUAUGGUACAUUCGAUGACAGCAAGCAAGCGAGUACAGGUCUGGGUGACAGGUGGCAGUGGUUGCUCAGAGCCCCAUUGAGAAGCAGAGACAGGAAGGAGAUGAGGGGAGGAGAGUAUUGGGGUGUUAAUUUUGCCAGCAAAAGCUACAGCCCUGAAACACAGGCUAUGGAACAGAAAUGGAGCCAGCACAUUGGAGGAGCAGCUGCAAGCUUGUGGGGGCUGUGUAGGUCAUUGGAAGGACUUUGGGUUUUCUGAGAUGGGACACUAGGCUCUCAGCAGGAGCAUCAUGGUUUGGUAUAGCUUAGUGGGAUAGCUACACUUUUGACAGUGUUGGGAAUUUUGAAUGGGACACACUAUAUAAAUCACCACGCACCGUACUCUUUAGAAUUCAGUGAAUGCCAGUGACUGGUCCUGGACUUGGACCAAACUGAGAGAUGUGAAUGGGAGGCAGGGAGAGGAUGAGACAGGUCUUGUCUCCACUGACAGUGCUUUGAGGGCCCUGCUUUUAUUUUGGAAAGUGAAAUACUGUGUGGAGUCUGGAAUCCCACCAUUUGCCUUAAACACUCUUUAGUUCAGUGACCUUCAGUCUCUUCCUUAGUGGUUUUGUUUUGUUAUUUAUUUUGAGGCAGUUUUCUCUGGGUGUCCUUGGCUGUCUUGGAACUUGCUCUUUAGACCAGGCUGGCCUUGAAUUCACAGAGAUCUGCCUGCUUCUGCCUCCAAAGUGCAGAGAUUAAAGGCAUGUGCCAGCUCUGCUGGCUGAAAUCAGUGUUUCUGAGUCAGCAAUUCUACCCAUCCUUUUGGGGUGGGAUUUAGAAGAGUCAAAAAUAGAUAUGAUCUGUUAAACACCCUCACCCCUUCCCCGUGCAUGGCAUGUGCAUGUGUGCACACUUGUCUAGGGGCCAGAGGGUGACCAUGAGUGUCUUCCCUGAUCCCGCUCCACUUUAUUGAAGCAUGGGCUCUCACUGAGUAUCAAGUACACAGGUUGGGCUGGUGUAGCUGCACCUUUGCCUUCUUAAGUGCUGGAUUUCAGAGAGUGGCUGUGCCCACCUAACCUCUACAUGGGUUCUGGGGAUCCAAACUCUGGUUCCCGGGCUUGUAUGGCAGAUGCUCCAUCUGCUGGACCAUUUCCUCAGUCCUGUUAAAACUUGCUGUGCUUAUGUGGAACUUUGAUUUGGUGUGUGUGGUAGGGAGUCUCCUCCACUAUAAUUUCAUAAACCCUCCCCUGACACAUGCCACCUCAGAAAAUAGGCAUUUGGAGCUGGAGAGAGAUUGGUCUGAAAUUAGGAGCACUUGUGGCUCUUGCAGAGGACCCAGCAUCCAUCCACAUGGUGGCUCACAGUCACCUGUAACUGAAAUUCCAGGGAUCUGACACGCUCUUCUGGCUUCCACCCAGGCUUGCAGGCAGUGCGCAGACAGGCCUGGAGGAGAACGCACACAAAAUAAAUAUAUUUUUUUUUUUUUUUGGAGCUGGGGACCAAACCCAGGGCCUUGCGCUUCCUAGGUAAGCGCUCUACCACUGAGCUAAAUCCCCAGCCCCCAAAAUAAAUAUUUUUAAAAGGAGCUAUUUAAGACUUUGGUACAGGGCUGUCGAGAUGGCUCAGUAGGUAAAGCGCUCGCCAUCAAGACAAGUGGCUCGAGUUCAAUCGCUGGAACAAAUUAAAGUAGGAGAGAAGCAACUCCAGAGUUGUCCUCUGACCUCAUAUGCACUCUCAUUCACACACAUCACAUCCAUAGUAAAUAAUGUUUUAAAAGACUUCAAUCAGGCUGGAGAGGUGGCUCAGCAGUUAAGACAACUGACUGCUCUUCCAGAGGUUCUAAGUUCAAUUCUCAGUAACCACAUGGUGGCUCACAACCAUCUGUAAUGGGAUCUGAUGCCCUCUUCUGGUGUGUCUGAAGACAGCUACAGUGUACUCAUAUACAUAAAAUAAAACUUUUUUUAAAAAAAUGCUUCAGUCCACUGAAAGGAGAAAAUGUCUUACUACUCAGUGGGGCUUACUAUGAACCUAAUAAAUUCUGUUCCUCACCUUCCUUGAGGCAACCCCCUACUGCUUGCAGAAUACUGCUGACCAUAGAAUUCCUUUUCUGGAAGACAUGUGAACUCCAUUCUGUUAAAUAGCUCCCUUUCCAGGGAGGGUCCAGACAGGUUAGUCUCAUCUAUUUGAUUUUGUAUGUGAGCAUGGAUGUGUGCUUUCCAGUAUGUGCAUAUGGGAAGUCAGAGGACAACUUUUGGCAGUCAUCUCUCACCUUCCUGCUUGCUGAGGUGUACACUGGGCUAAUUGGUCCUUAAACUUCUAAGCAUUUCUCUUGUCUCUGCCUGCCAUCUUGCCGUGGGAGUAUUGGGAUUAUAGAUGUGUACCACUAUACUCCUGCCCACUUUAAAUGGUACAUUCAGGGGAUUGAACUCAACCUGCCAGGCUUAUUCAACAAAUGCUUACCCAUUGAGCUGUCUAGCUCCUCAUUUAUUAUUUGGCAAAUAUUUAUCAAUAUAGACAUUUACAAAUAAAUUUCCCUUUGCGCAUUGCUUUAGCUGUGUCUCUUCUGUGUUGGUAUGUUGUGUUUUCAUUUUCUUAUUUAUCUAUCUAUUUAUUUAUUUAUUUAUUUAUUUAUUUAUUUAUUUAUUUAUUUUUGAGACUGAGUCCUCUAUAGCCCAGGCUGACCUUGCACUCUGUGUAGCUGAGGCUAGUCUUGAACUCCUGAUCUUCCUACAGCUUCUCUCCUAAGUGCUGAGAUUACAAACCUAUGCCACCGCACCCUGUUGUGUUUUCAUUUUCAUUCAUGCAAAACAUUCUCUAAUUUCCCUCAUGGUCUCUUCAUGGAUCUCCUGGAGGAGAGGCAACAAGCUAGAUGUUGCUUAAUCUCAACCCGUCAACAAAUGUUGGCUAAGUACCCACGGCUUGUCCACAUAUGCACUGGAGUAGGGGUUGGGGCAUAAUGGCAAACAGAACAGGCUACUUUAGUCCUUGUUGCCUUCAUAAACACAUGGCAAAAUUAUGUUAGUGGCACUAACUGUGGUGAAAAUAGCUGGAUUAUGGGCUAGAGGUGAAAGUAAGAGGACAGAAACCGGAAUGGGACUCAGGGAGGUAUCCUUGACUUCUGGGGAACGACAUCCUAGGGCAGACAAGGAAUCCAUGGAGUUUGUUGUUUUAUGAGGUAGAGUCUCAUGUAUGCCAAGCUGGCCUCAAACUCACUAUGUAGAUGAGGAUAGCCCUGACUCAGUCCUGCCUCAGGUUCUCAAAUGGUGGGAUUAGAGAUAUAUAUCAUGUCUGACAGAAUCUAUUGAAUAGUAACCCCUAUACCUCCCACUAGAUACCUCAUAUAAAUAGCCCAGAGAGCACCUUUAAUGAAGACUCCUGUUUCUAUAAUUCUAACCUAUACUUUCUCUGUUUUGGGGGUACAGCUUCCUUAUGGGUUGGGAUUCUCUCUUGCUAUCAAGCCAAUUGUUCUACUGCAAGCUUGCUUUGGGGACUCUGAGAAAUUUACUAGAUUUCUUUGAGCUUCAGUGUUCUCAUGUGUACAGGAGAGAGUAGAUGUCUCUAAGCGUUGCCAUGGGGAUCUGAUGGGUUGAGAAGUGGAAGUGCUUAGGACAGGCCCCUCUGUGAAGCACAAUGGGAAGGUUCUAAUGGAAACAAGCAAAGCAGGUAACUGUGUCCCCGCCCCUUCCAUAGCACUUCCUGCAUCCUCACACAUUUCUCCUCCUUGGCAGUUGAAUCCCUCACUUAGGCUCUGUAUGCAAUCUCCUGGUUGCUACACCUUUGGUUCUUGUGGAGAUUAGAUUAAAUGGAGAGGGUGUGAAGGGCAUGGAAUGUUGACUCUUGUCCAAGAACACUCAGAACUGGAUACUGAAAAUAUCUGAGUAGAGGUAGGGUGGAGGCACCUUUCACCUGUGGGUGCAGAGAACCAUUCAGGCAGACCGAAUCAAAGUUCCUGGGCUUUGGUGGGUGGGGAGGAGACAUCCUCUCCCCCAUGGCUUCUUAGGUUUUUGGUAUAGUAUGUAAGGAAGCUGAGGGCUAGACACAGAGCCAGGACUGCAGGAGCAAGGGAUGAUGGGCAAAAACGUGGAGUCUUUCUCCCAUUGACUCUUCAAAAACUCAGUGGUACUCCUGGGACUGAGAACACAAAAAUGAACUCCAGGAGUUAGCUUCCAGUGCAGAGGGAAGGACAGACAGACAGCAGAGAUGGAAAACGCACUAUAAAGGGAGGUGUUUGGAGAAGCCCUCCUUAUCUAAGGACAGGAAUUCAGGUUGCCCCAGGUAUGUGAUAUCAUCAUUAAUAGCACACACAGCACACACGGGGUGGAGUGCACACUGCUGAUGAGUGCUGCAUUUUUCCCUCCUCAUGCUCAUGCAGAUAGGGUCAGAACCCACCUCUGCCCAGGCCCAUGAGUGUAUCCCACAGUCUUCCAGGAGUGCAGGCACUCUUGCUGUAACCAGCCUGUCCUAGGUAGGAGGUUUCCCUCCCUACUUUGCAUUCAAAGAAUAGUCCCUCUCCCCACAGUCUUGAGCUCUUACCCAGCUUUCUUGGCUUUCCUAUUGCUGAUGCUGGAAUGGAUACUAACAAUUAAUAGACGGCAUUGCCAUAGAUUAUCACGGUGUUUACCAGGACGCCAGGAGGAGCCUUCCACGUAUUAAUGCUGAAGUGCUGAAUCUUCACAGCAGCCCUGUGCUUGAUAGAUCUUGCUUGUCCUAACCCUUGUUCCCCCUGCCUCCACUACCACAAGGUUACCUCAAACUUGCAGCAAUCUCAGCCUUCUGAGUGCUUGGAUUGCCCUCUGUUAGAGUGGUUGUGAGGACAGAAGUUCAGUCAUUUACCCAUGGUCACAGAACUAGAAAGCAGCUGUACACAUACACACACUCACACACAAAAUGCUUGAUGGUGGCACACCCCUCGAAUCCCACUAUUCAGGAGGCAGAGGCAGGUGGAUCUCUGUGAGUUCAAGGCCAGCUUGGUCUACAGAGUGAAUUAUAGAACAGCCACGACUACACAGAGAAAACACAGUCUAAAACCAAAACCUAAACAAAACGAAACGAAAAAACAGAAAAGAAUAAAGGAGGUUAGGGGUGGAGGCUUAGGUCUGAAGCUGGUAUUCUGGCACCCGAGCUGCUGUCUAAACCACUCAGAUGGGAGCUAUUCUUGUCCUUGUUUUACAGUGGCAAAACCAGAGGAUUGAGACCACAGGAAAGUAUGGGGAGUGGAGGGAAUCAAUUUAGAGGAGAGAGUUUGAGCACCACCCAACCCCCAGGUCAUCAGGGAUUUAGUCUUGGAAGAGAAAGCAGGUGCAUGAAGACAGUCUGAGGAUAAAUAGGGAGGUGUGUGAAGAUCCAAAAAAAGAUGGGGUAAGGAUGGGAGGAGACUAGCAUACCCAAAGUCCACACAGGUUAGAGGAAAGCAGGUGUAUGGGUGGAAUGACAGGCUAGCUAAGAGAAUGCUGUUGGUGCAGGAGCAUGGAUCUAGUUCCCUUUGCUUGCUACUCACGGGCUCUCUUUGCUCAGUCCCCAUCCUCUUCUUCACAGGGUCUCCCUUCUCUCCACCGACCAGAGAUGGAGGCAAACCAGGCAGGCAGCGGUGCCGGGGGUGGCGGGAGCAGCGGCAUCGGGGGCGAGGACGGGGUCCACUUCCAGAGUUACCCAUUUGACUUCCUGGAAUUCCUCAACCACCAGCGCUUUGAGCCCAUGGAGCUAUACGGGGAACACGCCAAGGCAGUGGCAGCCCUGCCCUGUACCCCGGGGCCCCCGCCCCAGCCCCCACCCCAGCCUCCUCCGCCCCAAUAUGACUACCCGCCCCAGUCCAGUUUCAAACCUAAGGCGGAGGCUCCUUCCUCAUCCUCAUCAUCAUCUUCAUCCUCAUCUUCCUCAUCUUCGUCUUCCUCAUCCUCUUCCCAAGCCAAGAAGAUGGAUCCGCCGUUGCCACCCACCUUCGGAGCGCCGCCCCCUCCACUCUUUGAUGCUGCCUUCCCUGCUCCGCAAUGGGGAAUAGUCGACCUCUCUGGACACCAGCACCUGUUCGGGAACCUGAAACGAGGUGGGCCCACACCUGGGCCUGGAGUAGCAUCAGGACUGGGCACUCCUACUGGGACCCCAGGGCCACUUCCCACACCCUCGCAGACCCCGCCUGGGCCCACAGUAGGGGCAGCCUGCGACCCAACCAAGGAUGACAAGGGCUAUUUCCGAAGGCUGAAGUACCUGAUGGAGCGGCGCUUCCCGUGCGGUGUUUGCCAGAAGUCCUUCAAACAGUCCUCACAUCUGGUCCAGCACAUGCUAGUGCACUCCGGGGAACGACCAUACGAAUGCGGCAUCUGUGGCCGCACCUAUAACCAUGUCUCCAGUCUCAUCCGUCACCGACGCUGCCACAAGGAUGUGCCAUCAACACCAACCGGCAGUACGUCACAGCCUGGGCCUGCACUUCCUUCACUGGGCCUCCCGGUACCCACAGCCAGCGCCACAGCCAGCUCUGACCCCGCCGCAGUGUCCUCUGGCCCUUCAGCCACCCCUGCAACGCCUGCCACCUCCACUGAUGGGAACACCACCCCUGCUGCCCCACCUGGGGUGGCCAUGCCUCCCUCUGCCACUACUGGCGGGGAGGGCCCAUUCGCCUGCUCCCUCUGCUGGAAGGUUUUCAAGAAGCCUAGCCACCUCCACCAGCACCAGAUCAUCCACACCGGUGAGAAACCCUUCUCUUGCUCUGUGUGCAGCAAAAGCUUCAACCGGAGGGAGAGCCUCAAACGUCAUGUGAAAACGCACUCGGCUGACCUGCUGCGCCUGCCCUGUGGCAUCUGUGGCAAGGUCUUCCGCGAUGCCUCCUACCUCCUCAAGCACCAGGCGGCCCACGCAGCGGCCGGAACCCCGCGGCCGGUGUACCCUUGCGACCUGUGCGGAAAAACAUACUCAGCGCCGCAGAGCCUGCUGCGACACAAGGCUGCCCACGCACCACCUGUGGCCACAGAGCCAGCUAAGGACGGCGCGGCCUCGGUCCCACAGCCACCUCCCCCGUUUCCCCCAGGUCCUUACCUCCUGCCCGCGGACCCAUCCACUACAGACGAGAAAGCCACGGCGGCCGCAGCGGCUGUGGUGUAUGGUGCAGUGCCUGUCCCACUUCUCAGCGCACAUCCUCUGCUGCUUGGAGGUGCAGGGAAUGGCGGUGCUGGCGGCCCGGGCGCGAGUGGCCCAGGCAAGACGUUCUGCUGUGGCAUCUGUGGUCGCGCGUUUGGGCGCCGCGAGACCCUAAAGCGACACGAACGCAUCCACACCGGCGAGAAACCCCACCAGUGCCCCGUGUGCGGGAAGCGUUUCCGGGAGUCCUUCCAUCUGAGCAAGCACCACGUGGUGCACACCCGAGAGAGGCCCUACAAGUGCGAGCUGUGCGGCAAAGUCUUCGGCUACCCGCAGAGCCUCACUCGCCACCGCCAGGUGCAUCGGCUGCAACUGCCCUGCGCCCUGGCUGGAGCCACAGGCCUCACCACCGGACAGGGGACCACUGGGGCCUGUGGACCUGGAGCUGCAGGCACUUCAGGUGGGCCGGCCGACCUGAGCUACGCCUGCUCAGACUGCGGGGAACACUUCCCGGAUCUCUUCCACGUCAUGAGUCACAAGGAAGCUCACAUGUCAGAAAAACCGUACGGCUGUGACGCCUGCGGCAAGACGUUCGGUUUCAUCGAGAACCUCAUGUGGCACAAGCUGGUUCACCAGGCUGCCCCGGAGCGCCUUCUCGCGCCAACAUCCAGUGGCCCUCAGUCCUCUGAUGGCAGCGGCAGCAGCAGCGGCGGCACCGAUGCAUCCAGCGUGCUGGACAACGGACUGGCUGGAGAGGUGGGGACGGCAGUGGCAGCGCUGGCUGGGGUUUCUGGGGGCAGCGAGGAUGCGGGUGGGGCGACGGUGGCCGGAUCGGGUGGCGGGACCAGUUCAGGCGCUGAGCGCUUCAGCUGUGCCACAUGCGGCCAAAGCUUCAAGCAUUUCCUGGGCCUGGUGACUCAUAAGUAUGUGCACUUGGUGCGCCGGACCCUGGGUUGCGGCCUCUGCGGCCAGAGCUUUGCGGGCGCAUACGAUCUGCUCCUGCACCGCCGAAGCCACCGGCAGAAACGGGGUUUCCGCUGCCCAGUGUGUGGGAAGCGCUUCUGGGAGGCGGCCCUACUGAUGCGCCACCAGCGCUGUCACACAGAGCAGCGGCCCUACCGGUGCGGCGUGUGCGGUAGAGGCUUCCUGCGCUCCUGGUACCUGAGGCAGCACCGCGUAGUGCACACGGGCGAGCGCGCCUUCAAGUGCGGCGUGUGCGCCAAGCACUUCGCGCAAUCUUCUAGCCUAGCGGAGCACCGGCGGCUGCACGCCGUGGCCCGGCCUCAGCGCUGCGGCGCCUGCGGCAAGACCUUCCGCUACCGCUCCAACCUGCUGGAGCAUCAGCGGCUGCACCUGGGCGAGCGCGCCUACCGCUGUGAGCACUGCGGCAAGGGCUUCUUCUACCUGAGCUCCGUGUUGCGCCAUCAGCGUGCCCACGAGCCCCCGCGGCCCGAGCUGCGCUGUCCCGCCUGUCUCAAGGCCUUCAAGGAUCCUGGCUACUUCCGGAAGCACCUGGCUGCCCAUCAGGGCGGCAGGCCUUUCCGCUGCUCCUCCUGCGGUGAGGGCUUUGCCAACACCUAUGGUCUGAAGAAACACCGCCUGAUGCACAAGGCUGAGGGUCUUGGGAUGCCCGGAACAGGGGGAAGCACCUUGGCCGGAAAGGAUCCCUGACCAGGGUGUUUCAGUGUGCCAAUCAGAUAUUCCCUCUGGACUCUACCCUUCUGGGGCUGCUGGUCAGACUCUCCCCACCCCUCCUUACUGUCACCCAUUCUAAAGAAUCCCAGGUGGUCUAGCUUCUUUCCAGUCCCAUGCCCUACAAACUGAAGAUUAAAUUGCUCCGAUCCCAGGCCAUUCUGGCCCUUCCUUCUUCAUCUGUCAGACACUGGACUUGAUCCUCUGUCCAGUUGAUCCUCUUUUGUAAACCUCAUCUGCCACCCAGCAGCAUUCUGGCUCCAGUGAACUCUGUGGUGGAGAUGGGUUUGAACUACUCACCCCCUCCACUUCCUCUGGGAUCUGGCUGGACAGUGGACUAUGAACAGAGUUGGGAGGGCACAGGUUGAGUGAGGAUUUGCCAUGUCCCGGGCAUUAGCCUAUGAAUUGGGCAAGUGGAGAGGAGUGAAACAGGGAAGUCGCACUCUCAGGAACUGAUUUGAGAUCCCGAGACUCCCCUCCAUGAUGCUCUCAGCCACCAUGACCGGAAGCCUCCUGUCUGCCAAGCCCUGACCUGGGCACUAGGGAAACUGAUGAAUUGAUUGGACAUGACAUUCACACUCCAGUAGGCUGGGAGAGCAUACCUGAGGAACUUAAGUCUGCAGACUUACUGCAGACGGUCUCAUGUAGUCUAGGCUGGCUAUGGACUUGCUUUGUAGGUAAAGAUAGGCUUGAAUUUUUUCCCCUUUGAGACAUGGUCUCUCUAUGUAACCCUUGGCUCUCCUGGAACUCUCUGUAGACCAGAUGGGCCUCGAAUUUACAGAAAUCCACCUGCCUCUGCCUCUCUGGUGCUGAGAUUAAAGGUGUGCACGACCA